AUAACGGAGCUGGCGGGAGGGUGGUUCUGUCUAGGGACAACCCACUCGCGAGACCAAACCUAGGCUAAGCCUGUAGACACUGGGCCGACACACGCCCGGACGGGGGUUCGACUCCCCCCACCUCCAUUU
RNAcentral lists this transfer-messenger RNA (129 nucleotides) under Elusimicrobiota bacterium. RNAcentral's name for it is "Elusimicrobia bacterium (wastewater metagenome) partial transfer-messenger RNA". It matches the Rfam family "transfer-messenger RNA", at positions 236 to 374 of the family's 374-position model. Rfam says of the family: Bacterial tmRNA, also known as 10Sa RNA or SsrA, is named for its dual tRNA and mRNA-like properties. Lineage: Bacteria; Pseudomonadati; Elusimicrobiota. The record is from RNAcentral.